This 64-nucleotide transfer RNA is filed under the name Mico argentatus (silvery marmoset). RNAcentral's name for it is "tRNA-Tyr". It matches the Rfam family "tRNA". From Rfam's summary of the family: Transfer RNA (tRNA) molecules are approximately 80 nucleotides in length. Their secondary structure includes four short double-helical elements and three loops (D, anti-codon, and T loops). Lineage: Eukaryota; Metazoa; Chordata; Mammalia; Primates; Cebidae. RNAcentral also lists the same sequence under 1 other name. The record is from RNAcentral.
GUAAAAUGGCUGAGUAAGCAUUAGACUGUAAAUCUAAAGACAGAGGAGCGACCCUCUUUUUACC